AUGGAGAGUCUGGAAACCAGGUUGUUUGCAAGGUUGGAGUUUGAAGAGAAGAACAUUUUAUUUCGUCAUUUGAAAGCUGCUGAUAAAAGCCAAGGACUAUUAUGUUUGUAUAUAUUUUCAUAUAAAUCUAUUUUUACUAAAAGACAGUUUGUUUUGGGGUUUUCUCCUUGGACGAAGGGUGCAGCUUCCGCAGAAGAGGUUGAAUGUUUGGAACCUCAGUUUGAUAGCUGCGACAAGAUGAAGACAACUGUUUUCACGUCAUCUUGCCUGCAACCACAGAUUUCCAGUGUCUUACAAAAAAUUUGGGAGCAUACUCUUAGCUAUCUAGGCUGCUGAUGUUGGAGCUAUGGAAUCUGAAGACUAAAGAACCCAGCUACUGCUCCUUGAUCUUUUCUUUGAGGAAAGAACUUUCUGUGAACUUCUAAAGAGCACUAAGAUUCCCUUGAACUCUGUUUAAAAGUCACUAUCUUAUUUUCAAAGGCUGGCAUCCUGAUAGUAAUGUACUCUACUGUUGUAUGCAUUUUUCUUUUAGUCAUCACAGAAAGAAGAACUCAAAACCUCUUCCAUACAAUGGCCUCUAUCUUCUCAAAACUGACUAUUUCCAGGGGCCCUGUGCUAUGACUGAAUAGUAGCCAGCGGAGAGAAGUGGGCAGUGGUGGAGGGACUUGUUAUGCACCUAUAUUCUCUAAGGGACAAUCAAACAACAAAGAUAUAGACUUUGGAGGAAUCCUCAAAAGAUGACAUGAGUCCUGAGAAAGGUGAGAAGAGAGACAGAUGAGUCCUGAGGAAGGUGAGAAGGGUGACAGGGCAUUAUUCUGUCUGAACAAAACUUUAUGCCCUGUCGCUCAGUGCAGAAUCUUGGCCAAUGUUUGGAUGUGACCUCAAUUGACCUCAAAUUACUUAUUCAUCUUCCAUUACUAUGUAGUGUGCCACAGAAUUUAGUUUGUAAAUCCUAACGGAUAUUAAUAAAUAUUAUCAUGUUAGCACCAAGCCAGUGGCUAUUAAGGUACUGGCCAAAAGAGGUUGUUUGCUAUUACAAAAAAUAUCCAUAGCUAUCAACAAAGCCAUGGUAUCCUGUUGUAUUUUCACUGAGUCCCUGCAUAACACGAUGGACUUACACAUUUUUUUUGAAAAAAAUAUCAUCAUGUUCUCUUUCUCCCAAGAAAGAAGUUCUAAAAUGCCAAAAAUACCUAACACAAACCAUUUAGCACCUUACAAAGAUCAGUGCAGCCUGUAACAAUGAUGAAAAAUGACUGAUUGAAGGUAAACAAUUGAGUAUAGUGACAAUAAAAGUAUCACUUUUGUCAUAAUGCUACAUAUAAUGUAGAGUACGUAAAAUGCAGUGGUAUGACUGCAAGAUUUAAAAAUUAAAAUUAAAAAAAACCACAGGAUAAGCAGCCUUAAUAUAAACAUUUUACGUACAAAAAUAUUAAAUCAAAAAUAAAUAAUUCCAGACAUAAAUAUUAUACUUUACAACUUUAAGAAUAUACAUCACACACUCCCAUACAUGCACGCGCGCGCACACACACAUACAUAUGCAAACAAGCAUAGACAUGCAUGCAUCCAUACACACAUUCAGAUGCACACAAAGAGGAAAAAGUACAAAAGUGGAAGGCAAGAGGUAUUGCUUCAUUAUCCUUCAUCCGUCUUGCUUCAACUCCCGGCAUUCAGAACUCCUGGGAAUUAAAAACAUGAUGCAGACUUCUCAUUUCAACUUUCACUAGCACUGGUGGGCUAAAAAAGAACAGUUUGUCCCUUCGUAGGGGAAGCCAUAAGGACACAAAAGAGCACUAGUUCCUUUUCUUUCUUUAUAUAGAUCAAUCUGGGUCAAAUAUAUUUUUGUACUUUCUCCUGGAAGCAUAAUAUCCUCAACUCUAAAUCCUUGUAUCAUGAAAAUUACAUCUAUGGCAUUUCCUAUUGGCUUUGUAUGCUUCUAAAGGAAUUCUGCUUGUCUGGCCACACAUGCUCAAGGAAUUAUUUAUUCUUUCCUAUAAUCUGGAUGUCAACAAAAAUUGUGGGAUGGUUGCCAUCUCACAUAACCUCUAUGUGUACACCCUUCCAAUUGGCAAAAGGCAUUUGUGUUGUAUUCAUGAAGUAGUCCAAAGACUCUGGUGUGAAGGGCAUUCAGUGGUGCCACUGCAUCUGUAGCUGUUUAAUCACAACCAUGACAAUUGUUAUAAUUUAUUUGUUUUAUGCAUUUAUACAAAAGACAUACUACAACUGCAACUGCUACUAUUGGCACUAUUUUUGUAAUUUACUAAAAGAUAGUAAAACUGCCCUUCAUUGAAAUAUAUCAGAGCAACGGUUGUAUUAUCCUAAGUCCAAUGAAAACAAGACACAAUAAAGCAGAAAAAAGGAUUAACAUGCUGGGGCCAGGAGAGAAAAUGUGUUUUAACUUUGAACCAAAGAGACAGCAAAGUGAUUGAUGGCCAUUCCUUUAUGGAGACAGAGUUCCACAAAUAGGGCACAAUAAAAGCAGAUUCCCCUUUUUAUUAACACCAAAUGACUGAGAUUCUACAUGGCUGACUAUAGCGUAAACAUUCUGUAUGUGGAACUCUGCUAUGGUUGUUCUAUCACCAAGCCCAGGACUCAGCAUUGUGUUGUGACAGACUCUCCCAUAACUAUUCCAUUGCUGAUGGAGAAAAGGGAUGUGGAAGUUGGAGAAACCUUCGGCUAUGUCUCCACUGCUAGUCACAGGCCAAGGAGUAAGAGCUGCUCUAGAGCAGGCAUGGGCAAACUUUGGCCCUCCAGGUGUUUUGGACUUCAACUCCCACAAUUCCUAACAGCUGGCUGAUGGGAAGGU
Molecule: long non-coding RNA, 2803 nt
Filed under: Anolis carolinensis (green anole)
Lineage: Eukaryota; Metazoa; Chordata; Lepidosauria; Squamata; Anolidae
Description: lncRNA (ENSACAG00000038654.1)
Source: RNAcentral